GUAUAAAAGGGAGCCGCUCCCGUGGAGAAGACCUAGCCGCUGCUCCUCCCGCACUCGCGCCGCCCUCCUGCCUCGCCUCUCUCUCCCCCUCGACCCGCGACCUAGCCCCCGCGACCCUCGUCCCGCCGCCGCCGCCCUCCUGCCUCCUGCCUCCAAGCCCUAAGCCCCUGCCGGAUCCGCCCCUCCCCAAUUCUUCGCGGCCAAGAAGCGGAGGCCCUCGUCGCAGCAUGGGAGCCCCGGGGCCGCCAAGGGGUCCCUGGUCCAGUCCCCUCCCGCCGUGGCGGCGGUGGCGGGGUCGUCGUCGGCCCUGGCCGGCUCCCCCUCAGGCGCCCGGAGCGAGCUGCACGCGGAGCCCCACGGCCUCCGCCUCGAGGCGGACGACGCGGGACGCAAGUGCGAUGGAGGUGAUCUUGCGCACCUCCAUCGUCCACCAGCUGCUCGAGAUGGAGUCCGUGGCCGGCGAGAAGACCAGCGGCGUGGCGGACAGGCCCGUCGUAAGCCAUGUAUGAGCAGGGUGUUGGCCGCUCGUCCUCUGUCCCGAGUUUAGGUUGCCCGUAUGAGAAAAGAGAGAAGAGGAUUAAUCUUCCUCUGCCAGGUAAACCUUGUCAUCCUUCCUAUCAGAGUUCUCUGAUAAUCUUAUUUUGAUUUCUUGAUUUAUAUUUUUUCUAAACACAUAAUGUGCAGAUCUGAGAAAAAAGAGAAAAGGAUGAAUCUUGAGGAAGAGCUUGGUGAAGAACAAGGUGAUCUCCUAACACAGUGACAUUCUCUGCCUCUCUCUCUCUCUCUGUCUAUCUUCAGGUCUUACAUAUGUUUUCUUCUUUAAACAAUGUUCAUUUAAUUUCUGGAUUGGUGCAGGUUCGAGGAUGUAAAUCUAUCUGAUAUGUUGUUGAUGGGGAUUAAGAUUAUUGUAUUGACAUAUCUGAAAGUAUUCUACUGACAUAUCUG
This 945-nucleotide long non-coding RNA is filed under the name Triticum aestivum (bread wheat). Its description in RNAcentral is "long non-coding RNA (TAES_LNC012724)". The record is from RNAcentral. Lineage: Eukaryota; Viridiplantae; Streptophyta; Magnoliopsida; Poales; Poaceae.